CACAGCAGCCAUUGUGAACCCGAGGUUGGCAGGUACUUUCCAGUCCAAACCGGUUCGUGUUUUCAGUUCCCUCUCCCCGGGCACGCUUCUUUCAGGUUUAGAUCACGCGACGCUGCCGCGCUGCACACUCACUACGUGCUAAAUUACAGAUUGAAUAAACAUACGAUGUGAAAAAUGUGAAAUGUUGAUUAAUAAAUGAUAAUAAGUUAUGUGUAUGAGAAUUUGUGCUGCGAAUUGAAUGAAUUACACAAACAUGGAGGGAUGUUAUUUGAAAAGUCUGUCUGCACGUCGCGAAGAACACUAUUGUCGCGCAGACUUGGGUCUAAUUGUGUUCCAACAAUGAGUGGAGUUGAAGGAGAACGAAUGCUGCAGACUUGUGUUGUGGAGUCAGGAGCAAGUACGAGGACGCCCUAGUGCGGUAAGAGUUAAAGUCACGUGACCACCGUAAUUUGUUAUACUUAUAAAUAUUCAGGCAGCCUUUUUACCCGACUGCCGAAGGAGUAGAGGAAUAUUUUUCGAUUGUAUGUAUGUAUUUAU
Molecule: long non-coding RNA, 537 nt
Organism: Plutella xylostella (diamondback moth)
Lineage: Eukaryota; Metazoa; Arthropoda; Insecta; Lepidoptera; Plutellidae
Source: RefSeq, a predicted model, not a curated record